This 1198-nucleotide long non-coding RNA is filed under the name Hordeum vulgare. RNAcentral's name for it is "long non-coding RNA (HVUL_LNC014535)". The record is from RNAcentral. Lineage: Eukaryota; Viridiplantae; Streptophyta; Magnoliopsida; Poales; Poaceae.
CCUGACCUGACCAUGUUUUCCAGUUAGUUCCUAAUAUAAAAAAAGGCAUUAUUUGUACUGGUCGAAGAGUAACUGGGCCAUCUUUCCAGCAUGGCCCACUAUCGGUAUUGGGGGUUUGAAUGAGCAGUAGACCAUAUGCAUGUAAGAGGACUCCAUGGCUACAUACAUCUUGGACUAUUUAAGCAUCAUCGAGACACUGAUCUUCGUCUCCAAGUCCCUCACUUCUUUGUGUCCAAACUCCCAACGUUAUAGCUACUGUUCAAACUAUAAGAUGUACUCGAUUGAUGACAUGACCCGCAAAAAAUAAAAGAUUGAUGGCAUGGAUUUUUCUCCUUGUUUAUUUAGAAGAAAGAAACAUUUCAAGCAUCUAGUAGGCAUGGGAGGCACAGGGAAAUAAUGAGUCAAUUGCGGUGUUGAAUUUUGUACAGCAAGUGAGCUAAAUUCAACUGUUGUCUUUGGAAUAACUUGUGCGCCAAGAUGUUACCAUUUUAGGUUGACUCUUGUUCAAUCGUACAUGCACACACACACGUCAUGCAUGUAGAUAACUAACAAACCAAGCAGGUCCAGUAGGACCAGCGUCAAGAGAGCAAGCAAGGAUAGGUAGCUAUUCAGGCAUGCACUUGCCACAUUUUCUUAUAUAUCCAUGAAGUGAUGGAAAAUGGACUUACAAAUUCCGUACCACAGCGAGAUGAAGCUGGGUUUGCCAAAAUCUGAAACAAGCAGAGAGAUUUCUUGUGUAAGAACUUGCAAGAUAUUGCUAUCUUGUGGUUGCUAAAGUUGUAGCUUCUUCAAGCAUAUAAGGUUCAAUCCUGCGUGAAUCGUGAUCACGGAUCAAAAGAAGAAGAAAAAUGCGUGUUAAUCAUUCACGGAUCAAUUUUCACCCUGGCUCAUUAGUUUUAGGCACUCCUAUACAUUUGGAAAAAAAAUGCAACCAAAACGAAUUUAUUCAGCAAAAAGGAGACUACCACAACAAUGAGCUGGAAGGCCACGUCCCACACUACCUACUCAGAGAAUACAAAGAACUUGAGCAAACACAACCACCUACUCCCAUCAUUGCCUAAACUAACAUAUUGGAUUUUCUGUUCAUGCGGGUCGGGUGGACCCAUACUUUUCUCAAUUUAGUUGUUUUUGUUGCUUCUUCCUCUAAAUUUCUGCUAGGGAAAUUAAUCUACUCCCUUCAUCCUAAAAUAAGUGUCUC